This 496-nucleotide ribosomal RNA is filed under the name uncultured Verrucomicrobiota bacterium. Its description in RNAcentral is "bacterial SSU rRNA". It matches the Rfam family "Bacterial small subunit ribosomal RNA", at positions 97 to 573 of the family's 1533-position model. Lineage: Bacteria; Pseudomonadati; Verrucomicrobiota. The record is from RNAcentral.
GGCGCAAGGGUGCGUAACACGUGGGUAAUCUGCCAUGAAGUUUGGGAUAAUCCCGCGAAAGCGGGACUAAUACCGGAUGUGACCAUUGGGAGGCCUCUUUUGAUGGUUAAAGUUGGGGACCGCAAGGCCUGACGCUUCAUGAUGAGCCCGCGGCCUAUCAGCUAGUUGGUGAGGUAACGGCUCACCAAGGCUAAGACGGGUAGCUGGUCUGAGAGGACGACCAGCCACACUGGAACUGAGACACGGUCCAGACACCUACGGGUGGCAGCAGUCGAGAAUUUUUCACAAUGGGCGCAAGCCUGAUGGAGCGACGCCGCGUGGGGGAUGAAUGGCUUCGGCCCGUAAACCCCUGUCAUUUGCGAUCAAAGCUCAUGAUUUAAAAGAUGAUGAGUUGAUAGUAGCGAAAGAGGAAGGGACGGCUAACUCUGUGCCAGCAGCCGCGGUAAUACAGAGGUCCCAAGCGUUGUUCGGAUUCACUGGGCGUAAAGGGUGCGUA